GCAUAAAGAUGAUGUAAGCCGAGCUAUGGCGCUUGCGGUGGUGGUGAUAAGCUGUUGUUCCAGUCGUUCAGGUGUAAUGUACAAUAGCAUUUUUCCUAGGGAGGUUAGUGUACUGGAUGCGACCUGUACAUUGUGAAGUUGCGGUGCACCACGGGUUGCCGUCUGAAUCCUGGUUUUGUAAUCGCACUACAAUGAUCACUGACCAAGGCAAGGCAGCCGUAAAGGAGGUGCUAGUAUUUUGCCUGCCUGUGCCAUGUUCUGUUUCUCGAGAAGUCUUGACAGGGCUGAGAGUCCCUGCAAAUUCAGACCAUGCUGUUGAAAGUUGAAAUUAAAUCAAGUUGUAGUAUGUUUUGAACUUAUCAAAAAACUGAAUUGUCGGAGACUUUGGAAAGCACUGUUCCGGGAAUACUUUUAAGACAGAAAAAGCAGAGUUAAUUCUUUGAUUGUUUGUUCGUCGCGCUUCGUGGGUACCUUUUGUCCUUUGCAGGGUGCAGCAGGCACAUCUAUCUCUAAGCUCUUUCCCAUUGUCACUCUGCUCCCCUGACUAUUAGCAGCAGCAGCGACUUAUGCAUGGGCUAGGAACAAGGAGAUGUGGAAUGUCGCCAAAUUUUUGUUUUGGCCUCGACUUGGCCAGAGCAGGGCUAUGCGAAAUACCUCACGACGGCUCUUUCCUGUUUCUGAUGCAACACAGAAACUGACUGCACAGAACGUUUUUAAACAGCAAAGCUGCAAGCAAGAUGCUGACUUUGGAAGUUUGGAGAUUUGGCCGUCGUGGCCUCGCCGGCGACGACAUGUACCCUGGUCCAGCCACCUGCAGCGGCCGGCGCAUCGCUAGCCCUGACGCGGGAGUAUAUAGCAAAAAACUACCACAUUACAGGAGGGUUACAAAAAACCCACCACUUUUCUUAAAUUUUCAAAAAACUAUCACAAAUUUGGUUGGCUAUUCCAAAAAACCCUAGUCACCAAACGGUUAAAAUAUAUGCCUGAUUAUGACAUGUAGGGCCUGCCCGUCAAGUCCACGUCGAAUAUGGCUAACGACCCGCGUGCUCACGGCCGUUAGGGCGCAUCCGUUCCGACCGGGUCAGGACCACCCGAGCUAUCUCCUCUCUCCCCCUCGUUCAUUCUGUCCCCCUCCUCGGUCUGGUAGACCUAGGCAUUGUAGUCAUAACAGUAGAAUAGGAUACUAAUCAAAAUANNNNNNNNNNNNNNNNNNNNNNNNNNNNNNNNNNNNNNNNNNNNNNNNNNNNNNNNNNNNNNNNNNNNNNNNNNNNNNNNNNNNNNNNNNNNNNNNNNNNNNNNNNNNNNNNNNNNNNNNNNNNNNNNNNNNNNNNNNNNNNNNNNNNNNNNNNNNNNNNNNNNNNNNNNNNNNNNNNNNNNNNNNNNNNNNNNNNNNNNNNUGGAAGUGGAUAACUGGCCGGGCAGCGGCAGCUUCGCAACGCAUCCGCCUCAGCAGCCUACACUUCCGGCGCCGCCACAACCUGCAGUGUCGUCGCGGAGGCAGCCUACGCCCUCUGCACCGGCGAAUCAGGAGCUGUUGCUUGAGUACAGAGUGGCCAGGGUUUUGCUGGCGCCAUCGCCGCGGAUCCGGCGAACUCCCACCGACGAGCCUCAGCAUUUGGAGGGGUUGAGUAAGUUUUCUUUCUUCUCUUCAUCUACUCCUUGACUUGAAUGGAGCUAGUUGUGGAUGCCAGAACUUCAGUUUAGUUUGAGGUAGGGCUAGGUUCGUAGGUGGAUCAUGAAAUCUUUAGUUAAGUUUGACUAUAUGUUAGUUUAAUGCAGUAGUGAUUCAGAUUAGUAGAUGUAUUUAGUUGGAUGCAGUAGUGAUUCAGAUUACUAGAUGGAUUUUGUACUCAGUGUGCAUGGUUCAGAUAGGUUUUGUUACUGAAUUUUAUUACUCAUUAGCUCUGCAAUACUGAAUUUUGUUACUCAGUGGGAUAAAUAUGGAUGUAGUUAUAGAUGCAAUACUGAAUUUUUUAGUUAGCGGGCUAAAUAUGGAUGUAGUACUAUUGGGCCACUACUGAAUUUUGUUGUAGUAGAUUUAUUCAGUUAGUUUUUUUAUUGUGUACAAGUUAGAAAGAGUUGUGAAGUAACAUUGUAUAUAAUACAGGCUGGAUGAUGACAUUUGGGAGGUGAGGCUACAUUUCAAGGGCAGAAACAACAUGGAAAGAAGCUUCUCUCUUUGAGACAUCACAUUUCUCAAUUUGAUUGCACUUAUUGAGACUGAAGGGUAUGGGUUAGAUGACUACAUGUACUAUGUGAAGAAAGUAGGAAUUGGACAGGAUGGGUUAUUGCUUCUGGACAGUCAAGAGGCAAUAGAAGAAAUGAUUGACCACUCUGAUUUCACAGUUCUGGAUAUCCUAGUGGCGAAGGCUAAUGAAGACAGAGAUGUUGAAUUUAGUAGGGGUAACAAUGUUUAUGAAGAANNNNNNNNNNNNNNNNNNNNNNNNNNNNNNNNNNNNNNNNNNNNNNNNNNNNNNNNNNNNNNNNNNNNNNNNNNNNNNNNNNNNNNNNNNNNNNNNNNNNNNNNNNNNNNNNNNNNNNNNNNNNNNNNNNNNNNNNNNNNNNNNNNNNNNNNNNNNNNNNNNNNNNNNNNNNNNNNNNNNNNNNNNNNNNNNNNNNNNNNNNNNNNNNNCUCUUGAAGCAAAUCUAAACACACAACAUAGUUGCAAUUUGAACACUACAUAAGCUCAUUCUGAAGAUGAGGCUGGCGGUGAAGAUGGAGAUGCCUGUGGAGAAGAUGAGAUGGACAAAUCAUCUUCAGACUUUGAGAUUGAUAGGGGCGAUUACAGAGGCAUAAAGAUGUCUUACAAGGGUUGGAAGAGAGGUGAAGAAAAUGCUGUCAAUGAAGAAGAAAAUUAUGUUGCACAUGAGAGGCCAGAGUUUGAAGGGGAUAGUGAUGUUUUAGAGUUUUGGCAGGAGGAUAAAAGAGGAUGAUAGUGCAGAGGAAACUUCUAUGGUACAAGUCAGGCCUCAGAAACUAAAGCCUAUAAGAAGAGGAGCACUAAACCCAGGACCUACUUCCAAAGCUCACAGUAAGCCAGAGAUCACCAAGUUUGAAGAUUUGUACCUGAAGCUGAUGAAUUUUGCUUCCUUGGUGAUGAUGGCAUUUUUGAUUUAGAUGCAGAGGUACCACUACUACCUUUUGGAUGGAAGAGAAGAUUGAAGAAGAAGGAGAGGAAAUGGUAUGACCCAUUGUUGGGGAACGUAGCAUGCAAUUUCAAAAAAUUUCCUACGAUCAUGCAAGAUCUAUCUAGGAGAUGGAUAGCAAUGAGACGGGGAGAGUGUGUCCACGUACCCUCGUAGACCGAAAGCGGAAGCGUUAUGUUAACGCGGUUGAUGUAGUCGAACGUCUUCACGAUCCAACCGAUCCAAGUACCGAACAUACGACACCUCCGUGUUCAACACACGUUCAACUCGAUGACGUCUCUCGAGCUCUUGAUCCAGUAGAGGGCCGAGGGAGAGUUCCGUCAGCACGACAGAGUGGCGACGGUGUUGGUGAUGUGAUCCACGCAGGGCUUCACCUAAGCACUACGACACUAUGACCGAGGUGGUAAACUGUGGAGGGGGGCACCACACAUGGCUAAGGAACAAUUGAUGUGUCCCUAAGGGGUUCCCUGCCCACGUAUAUAAAGGAGGGAGAGGGAGGAGGCCGUCCCUAUGGGGCGCGCCAUAAGGGGGGAGUCCUACUAGGACUCCCAGUCCUAGUAGGAUUUGCCCCCCCUCUUUUCCUUCUCAUGGAGGUGGAAAGGGGGAAGGAGAGGAAGUAGGAGAAGGAAAGGGGGGUGGCGCCCCCUUCCCUAAACCAAUUCGGCCUCCUCCCUUGUGGGGGGUGCACCAGACCCUUGUGGGCUGGUUAGCCUCCCUCCUAUGGCCCAUAUCUUUCCCCGUGGGGUUCCGGUAACCCCUCCGGUACUCCGGUAUGUACCCGAUACACUCCGGAACCCUUUCGGUGCCCGAAUACUACCUUCCAAUAUAUCAAUCUUUACCUCUUGAUCAUUUCGAGACUCCUCGUCAUGCCCGUGAUCUCAUCCGAGACUCCGAACAAUCUUAGGUCACCAAAACACAUAACUCAUAAUACAAAUCGUCAUCGAACGUUAAGUGUGCAGACCCUACGGGUUCGAGAACUAUGUAGACAUGACCGAGACACAUCUCCGGUCAAUAACCAAUAGUGGAACCUGGAUGCUCAUAUUGGCUCCUACAUAUUCUACGAAGAUCUUUAUCGGUCAAACCGCAUAACAACAUACGCCAUUCCCUUUGUCAUUGGUAUGUUACUUGCCCGAGAUUCGAUCGUCGGUAUGAUCAUACCUAGUUCAAUCUCGUUACCAGCAAGUCUCUUUACUCGUUUCGAAAUGCAUCAUCCCGUAACUAACUCAUUAGUCACAUUGCUUGCAAGGCUUAUAGUGAUGUGCAUUACCGAGAGGGCCCAGAGAUACCUCUCCGAUACACGGAGUGACAAAUCCUAAUCUUGAUCUAUGCCAACUCAGCAAACACCUUCGGAGACACCUGUAGAGCAUCUUUAUAAUCACCCAGUUACGUCGAAGUUUGAUAGCACACAAAGUGUUCCUCCGGUAUUCGGGAGUUGCAUAAUCUCAUAGUCAGAGGAAUAUGUAUAAGUCAUGAAGAAAGCAAUAGCAAUAAAACUAAAUGAUCAUAAUGCUAAGCUAACGGAUGGGUCUUGUCCAUCACAUCAUUCUCUAAUGGUGUGAUCCCGUUCAUCAAAUGACAACACAUGUCUAUGGUUAGGAAACUUAACCAUCUUUGAUUAACGAGCUAGUCUAGUAGAGGCAUACUAGGGACACUCUGCUUUGUCUAUGUAUUCACACAUGUACUAAGUUUCCGGUUAAUACAAUUCUAGCAUGAAUAAUAAACAUUUAUCAUGAUAUAAGGAAAUAUAAAAUAACAAAUUUAUUAUUGCCUCUAGGGCAUAUUUCCUUCACCCAUUACUAUCUGUGUAAGGACCCUUUCUUCACCAAUGUCUAUGAGUUCAGAAAGACACUAAGAAAUUAUCAUGCUAGGACAUUGAGAAACUUUCAGUAUCAUAGGAAUGAACCAACAAGGAUUAUUGUUUGGUGCCCAGAUAGAAAGAAUGGUUGUGAUUUUUUCAUGAUUGCAUCCAAAGUAGCCCAUGAAGAUAUAGUCACAAUCAAGAAGUGCCACAUGGAUCACACUUGUGGAGCUAGUGGAGAGAGUACCAAGGUGACUGCACAAUGGGUUGCAAAAGUUGUUGGGGACACAGUUCGAUGAAAUUUAAAGGCUGAUGUUGACACAAUUCUCAAACAUACAAAGAAGAAGUUUAGGGUUCAUGUUCCUAGGAGUUUGGUCUAUAGGGCUAGGCUCAUGGCUGUUGAUGUUGUGCAAGGUGAUCAUAGUGACCAAUAUUUCAGGUUGAGGGACUACCUCCAAUGUGUGCUUGACACAAACGCUGGAAGCAGGUACAUGUUCUACUGCCUCUAGGCUUCCAAGGAUGGAUUCCUUAAUGGUUGUAGGCCUUUCAUAGGUAACUUUAAGUUAUUUACUCCUCUUUUCAAAUGUAACUAAUGCACAUAGUUAUUUCAUUUGACCCUAAUCUCACUGUUUAUCUAGGACUUGAUGGUUACUUGAUCAAAUUAUUCACUAGACAAUAGAUAUUGGCAUCCAUAGGGAGAGAUGGGAACAACAACAUAUUCCCAAUUGCUUUUGGGGUGGUUGACAAGGAGGAUGGUGAUAGCUAGACCUAGUUUCUCAACCAGCUUAUGGCACAAGUAACAAGUUUGGAAACUACACCAUCAUGUCUGAUAGAUAGGAGGUAUUGAUGCAUUUAUUUUUUCAGCUUUAUAAACACAAACACAUAGUCAUGAUGCAUUAGUUAAAUUAUAUGGUGCUUAUGAAAACAACAUGGUCUUCUUAAGGAAAUUAACAAAGUAUUUCCUCAGUCCCCACAAAGAUAUUGCCUUAGACACAUCUAUGCCAACUUUCAGUCAGCUGGCUCUAGAGUGGGGAAGAACUAAAAAAAUACGUAGACAAAGCUAGCUAUUCCUUCACUGAACAUGGUCAUAAAGCUAGAGUGGCUAGUUUGAAAGGAGCAUGUGAACCAGCUUACACGUGGUUGAAUGGCAUCCCUAAGGAGUGUUGGGCUAGAUAUGCAAUGGAUCAUGUAUGCAAGAAUGACUUGGUUGUCAACAACCUUAGUGAGGUUUUCAACAAGAUGAUCCUAGAUGUUAGGUCUAAGCCAAUUAAGACCAUGUUUGAAGGGUUGAGGACCAAACUCAUGGUUAAGUACGAGGGCAUAAGAGAGAAAGCAAAGAAUUGUAGGUGCGAAAUAACCCCACAUUACAUGGAGAAGCUUGAAGAGAGCAAGAAAUGGGCUAAAUAUUGUGAAGCAAACGUGGUUGGUCCCAACAUUUGGCAAGUUACUAGUGGAGAGAACAUUUACUGUGUGAAGCUGGAUGAAGAGAGUUGUUCUUGCAAGAGGUGGGACAUGACUGGGUCACCUUGCCACCAUGCAAUUGCUACUAUGCAGAAGAUCAAAGUUCAUCCUGAAGAUUAUGUGAAUCCAUUCUUUAAGAAGGAAAUGUACAAGGCAGCUUACCAACACAUCAUCUACAUUGUUCCUGGGCCUGAAUUCUAUCCAAACACAAACACACCAGACAUUGAGCCACCAGUAUUUAAGGAGAAGAAAGGGAAGAAGCAGACAUCUAGGAGAAAGGGCCAAUUUGAAGUGCCAGCUCCUAAGGAUACAUCAAGGAUGGGCACAAUAACCUGCAGUAACUGCAACAGGCAAGGUCACAGGUGGACACUAUGUGGAGACACGUUUAAGACUAAGUUACAGACAAGCACCAGGUAACUUUCAGUUAUUUAAGCUAAUGCAAAAUAUUUUCAUAGGUAACUUUCAGUUAUUUAAGAAAAUGCAAAAUAUCAUCAAGUGCAUCUAUUAUAGCAUGUUGUGCUUCAUUUGUAGGAAAACAAAAAGUCAUACCCAUCUUCUGGACCACCCGAGCCACCAAGAGGAGCUGCUACUCAAGGUCCAUCAAGAGUACCUGCUGCAUCUGGUCCUGCCAGAGUUGCAGUUGCAUCUGCUGGUCCUGCAGCCAACACCAACUGGGGCCACCCAAGCUGCUGCAAGAGCACCAACCAGGGCCACCCAAGCUGCAUCAAGAGCAUCAACUGUUGCUACUGUAGUCUCAAUAGUAGCAUCAAGAAAGAGAAAGAGCACAUCUUCAGCACCAACCAAGAAACACCAGGUCAAGUGCAUCAUCUCCAGCAAAGAACACUAGGUCAGCAGCCACUGGUGCGCGUCGGUGCUAAACAUACGGUUUUUAACCCCUUUCCGCGACGGCAUUUGGAACCGUCGCCAAGUGAGUGUGGGCGAUAUGGGGGGUCCUUCCCACAUGACCCAGAAACUGUCGGGGAUAUGCCCUCCUGGCACACACACUCGGCAAAAUGAGGUCGUGUGCGACCGGCGAACGCUCAAAUACGGAAAUACGUACAAUAGAGCUAAAAAAUACAAUUAUACGGCGAAAUUGUUUCCGGUCGCAAGUACAUCCCACAUAGUCAGUCCCUGCUAAACGUUUCCGUUCGUAUGUACAUCCCACGCAGUCGCUCCAAGGAAAACGUUUCCGUUCACAGGUACAUCACACACAAUUUUUCCAGUUAAAUCGUUUGUGAUAGCGUUGCCAUUGCACACGAUAUUAAUAAUUUUAUCGUUUGCGUUAUUGAAUGCAUCACACACAGUGCGUAGAAGAAACUGUGUGGCAAAGGCUGUCUAUCACACACACUUUUUAUGUGGUAAACGUUUGCGCAAGGUGGCCUAACGCAAACAGUUUUCAAGAGAAAUUCAUGUGUGCAGUGGAGCUUGAUCGCACACGUAGGGGAUCCUAGAAAUGUUUCUGAUCUCCACGUAUAUCGCAGACAUUUCACUUUCAUAAACCGUGUGCAGUGUAAUCCCUAAUUAAUCCAAUUAAUCCCUAAUUUGAAAAUAACAUGUUUUGAAUUUGAAAGUAGGCAAUCACUUAUUUCAUAUCAAACCAUGUUUAUUACAAAUAUAGGUUCAACCACGAAUCCAUAAUUCGAUGCACAUGUACAUAUACUGAAGAACUACAGAAGGACUAAGUAAAGAAUGAUGAACCACAGUUGUACUAAAGACUGUAAAGAGAGAGGCAGAAGACAUUCUGGUUGAUGGAGAAGGUGAAGCGGAAUGCCCAUAUUGUGCCCUCCUCCAUGCGUAAUGCGCGCACGACUCUAGGCCAACCCCUUGUGAUGGCUGCCCGUCCAUCCAUCACUAUCUUCAUUAGGACUUCUCGAUGCUCAUUGUAGUCUGUAUGAAAUACUUUAACCUUCAUUGCGUGUCCACCAAUCAUGUACUUUGCGAGGUAAUCUUUAGUGAACUGCUUCGGGAACCACUGGGAACGAAAAAGAUUCAGACAUUGUUGUCUAACAACUCAUUAUGGGCAGUAAAAAGAGAAGGCUGCAGAGUUUGUAGUUACCAUCCUACAGCUCACUGUUGUGUUGGAUAGAGCAUAAACAAAUAAUUUGCUUGCCACCAUUCAUACCUUUUUGCUAAUAAUCCUUAUCAGUUUCCUCACUUGAUGCUUGUUCAUCAAUAUCUCAUUGCCCCAUACGCAAAAAGGGUCGAUGCGUGGAUCCUUGCCAAGGGCAUAUGUACCUACAAGCAACAAGUCAAUAUUAGAAGCUAACUAGUGUCCAGGCCUGGAUCUAUAUGCACUACAUUAUGGAACGACGGGGGGAGUACAAGCUGAGGGAUGAAGCUAACCUCGGCGGAAAAUGGUGGCCACUCCCGUUGUUGUCCUGCAUAAGUAGUGGAAAGGCAUGAUAAGUACAUCAAUCUUAACAUCAAACAAAUAUAGCAAAGGUAAACAACAUCAUCUCCAAAUGAUAGCUUGAAUGUGUUGGUUUCAGCAUGCUGUUAAAGCAGAUAUAAAAUGGAAGGCAAUGUUACCGACAGCAGGCUUAACAGCCAUCAAAUAUUGCAAUUCAAACUGGUAUUGUUGAAAAUGAAUAGAACGUAGGUAAUGCUUAAACAUCACACUGGAUAAAUGUGUAAAACUGAAAUAAAGGGCAUGUGUUAACUACACCAAGAAUAACUGGAACCAAAUAUAGCCGUUCAAACUGGUAUUGAUGUAGUCAAGCAGCACAAUUGCGACUUGCACAUAAUGAACAACACAUUGUGAAUGACUGAAAUAAACAAGGCAUAAAUGAACGGUAUAACAACCAAAUAUAGCCAUUGAAAACUGGACAGAGUCUCACUGCAACCAACCUAACAAGCAAAUACAGAUAAACAGGGCAUAUGCUUGAAAACUGGACAAAUGCUCACUGCAACCAACCUAACAAGCAGAUAAAGAUAAACAAGGCAUCUGCUUGAUAACUGGACAAAUGCUAAAAAAGCAACCUAACAACCAAAUACAGAUAAACAAGGCAUCUGCUUGAUAACUGGACAAAUGCUAAAAAAAGCAACCUAACAACCAAAUACAGAUAAACAAGGCAUCUGCUUGAUAACUGGACAAAUACUCACUUCAACCAAACUAAGAAGCAAAUACAGAUAAACAAGGCAUCUGCUCGAUAAAUGAAAAAAUGCUCACUCCAACCAACCUAACAACCAAAUACAGAUAAACAAGGCAUCUACUCACUAUAAACAACCAAAUAUAGCCAUUCGUGAAACUAAAGUGGACAGUUCAUACUUAAACAUCACAUAGACCUAUUGAACAAUACAUUUUUGCAUAACUGAAAUAAUUAAACAUGACACAGUUAAAGCACCGCACGACAAAUGCUACUACAACAAAGGGUACGGGUUGGCAAGCUAGAAAAGGUAAGAUUUGCUGAUAGAAUGUUGCCUCACAUUUCAUGGACGGGAUCCUUCCAGUUGGAAGAGCACAUACCCAUGGUGCGCUCUCUGAUGUCACAGAUGGGCUGUUUCACAUUGGAAGAACCUUCGUGGGUGCCCUCCUCAUGGUCGUGGUCGUGGUCGAUGAGAUCUGACUUGGAAAUUGAGGAUCCCAAGCCGCCGCUGUAGAACGUGUCCUUCAGAAGUGACAAAAUGGGCUCGAUGGUGUAUAAAGAUCGCAAAUCCUUGACCGCUUGGCGAAGGAGAUCAGCCGCAGGGCCACUGAAGAGAUCGACAGCGGUUGAACCAGAGGGGUUGGGGAUGGACCACUUAACCUGUGACAUGGCCCGCGUGAAGCCAUUGGUGUGGACGAGCUUGAUGUCAUAGCCAACUUUCCCGAGAUACAGUAAUACGCUAGCCCGCUGACAUGAAGCCUUCGGCAUGGCAACGUAGUCAACGUCUUCGCCGGCUUCCGCGGUGACGUGUUGCUUGAUACGUCUCCAUCGUAUCUAUAAUUUUUGAUUGUUCCAUGCCAAUAUUCUACAACUUUUACAUACUUUUGCCAACUUUUUAUACUAUUUUGGGACUAACAUAUUGAUCCCGUGCCCAGUGCCAGUUCCUAUUUGUUGCAUGUUUUUUGUUUCGCAGAAAAUCCAUAUCAAACAGAGUCCAAACGGGAUAAAAACUGACGGAGAUUUGUUUUGGAAUAUAUGUGAAUUUUGGAAAGUGGAAUCAACGCGAGACGAUGCCCGAGGGGCCCACGAGGGUGAGGGGCGCGCCCCAGGGGGUCAGGCGCGCCCUGGGCCCUUGUGGCCACUCCAUAAGGCGGUUGGUGCCCAUCUUUCGCCGCAAGAAAGCCAAUAUUCGGAUAAAAAUCGUGUCCAAUUUCAGCCCAACCGGAGUUAGGGAUCUCCGGGAAUAUAAGAAACGGUGAAAGGGCAGAAUCAGGAACGCAGAAACAGAUAGAGACAGAGAGACAGAUCCAAUAUCGGAGGGGCUCUCGCCCCUCCCAUCCAUGGAAGCCAAGUACCAGAGGGGAAACCCUUCUCCCAUCUAGGGAGAAGGUCAAGGAAGAAGAAGAAGAAGAAGAAGGGGGGCUCUCUCUCCCUCUCUUCCAGUGGCGCCGGAACGCUGCCGGGGCCAUCAUCGUCACCGCAAUCUACACCAACACCUCCGUCAUCUUCACCAACAUCUUCAUCACCUUCCCCCAUCUAUCUACAACGGUCCACUCUCCCACAACCCGCUGUACCCUCUACUUGAAAAUGGUGCUUUAUGCUUCAUAUUAUUAUCCAAUGAUGUGUUGCCAUCCUAUGAUGUCUGAGUAGAUUUCGUUGUCCAGUCGGUAAUUGGUGAAUUGCUAUGAUUGGUUUAAUUUGCUUGUGGUUAUGUUGCUGUCCUUUGGUGCCCAUCAUAUGAGCACGCACGUGGAUCACACCAUAGGGUUAGUUGUAUGUUGAUAGGACUAUGUAUUGGAGGGCAAGAGUGAUAGAAGCUUCAACCUAGCAUAGAAAUUGAUGCAUACGGGAUUGAAGGGGGGGCAAUAUAUCUUAAUGCUAUGGUUGGGUUUUACCUUAAUGAACGUUAGUAGUUGCGGAUGCUUGCUAAUAGUUCCAAUCAUAAGUGCAUAGAAUUCCAAGUCAGGGAUGACAUGCUAGUAGUGGCCUCUCCCACAUAAAACUUGCUAUUGGUCUAGUAAAGUAGUCAAUUGCUUAGGGACAAUUUCGCAACUCCUACCACCACUUUUCCACUCGCUAAACUAACUUUAUUGCUUCUUUACUUAAAACAGCCCCUAGUUUUUAUUUACGUGCUCUUUAUUAUCUUGCAAACCUAUCCAACAAUACCUACAAAGUACUUCUAGUUUCAUACUUGUUUUAGGUAAAGCGAACGUUAAGCGUGCAUAGAGUUGUAUCGGUGGUCGAUAGAACUUGAGGGAAUAUUUGUUCUACCUUUAGCUCAUCGUUGGGUUCGACACUCUUACUUAUCGAAAGAGGCUACAAUUGAUCCCCUAUACUUGUGGGUUAUCAAGACCUUUUUCUGGCGCCGUUGCCGGGGAGUUCUAGCGUGGGGUGAAUAUUCUCGUGUGUCCUUGUUUGCUUUAUCACUAAGUAGUUUUUAUUUUGUGCUCUUGUUUUCUAUCUUUAGUUAUGGGUAGGAAACGCAAAAUACCAAAAAAAUUAGGUGUACCUACUACACCAAUGGUUGAAGAACCACUCAAAAUCUAUCACACUCCUGAAGCUUUUUACUUGGAUCAUCUUCGAUCCCUUUGUGCUCGUGCUGAAACCCCAACUAGCUUAGUUGAGGGCAAAUCUUUAGAUGAGCAUGCUUGUUAUGUGUGACACCGCUUAUCUCAAAAAGGGAAACUUUUACUGGAUCAAAUUCAUUGUUUGCAAUGCUAUGCUUGGAAUUUAUGUGAAAUAUAUGAUGUUACUUGUUGUUCUGAAAACCCUAAGAAACACCUUCCCUACCAAUGUGAGUUUAGUGAUAAUGGAAUCGUAUCUUCGUAUGCUAAGGGUGUUUAUAAUUACUAUGAUGUUCAACAAAUUGAAGAAUUUGUUGCUUUUAAGGCUGCUUAUGAAAUUGCUUCUUUGAUUGAAACGUAUGAUGCUACUCUUUACAAAUCUGAAUUUUUUUGCCAUACUUAAAUAUUGUUAUGAUAAUUAUGCUUCUAAUGCCUAUGUUAAACCAUAUAUUGAGGACUCCUCCGCUGUCCAAGAAGAGACUAAUAUUUUGCAGGAGUCUAUGGAAGAAGGAAUUGAUGAAACUGUGGGCUCAUUGGAGGAAAAAGAUGAUGAGGAGAGCGAAGAACAAAAGGAGAAAGAGCGGAUUAGCUACCCGUGCCCACCUUCUAAUGAGAGUAACUCUUCAACUCAUACAUUGUUUAAUUACCCUUCGUGCUUACCGAAGGAUGAUUGCUAUGAUGAUUGUUAUGAUCCCGUUGAUUCUUUUGAAAUAUCCCUUUUUGAUGAUGCUUGCUAUGCUUGUGGCCAAGAUGCUAAUAUGAAUUAUGCUUAUGGAGAUGAACUUGCUAUAGUUCCUUAUGUUAAACAUGAAAUUGUUGCUAUUGCACCCACGCAUGAUAGUCCUAUUAUCUUUUUGAAUUCUCCCGACUACACUAUUUCGGAGAAGUUUGCCCUUAUUAAGUAUUAUAUUAAUGGGUUGCAUUUUACUACUACACAUGAUGAUUUUGAUAGAUAUAAUAUGCAUGUGCUUGCUGCUCCUACUUGCAAUUACUAUGAGAAAGGAACUACAUCUCCACCUCUCCAUGUUUCCAAUAUGAUAAAAUUGCAAGAAACUGUUUAUACUAUGCAUUGGCCUUUACUAUGUGUGCAUGAAUUGUUCUUUUAUGACAUGCCGAUGCAUAGAAAGAGAGUUAGACUUCGUUGUUGCAUGAUAUAUGUUACUUUGUGCUCACUACUAAAUCACAAAUCAUUGUUAAUUAAAAUUGGCUUUGAUAUACCUUGGGAUCCGAGUGGAUCCAUUACUUGAGCACUAUAUGCCUAGCUUAAUGGCUUUAAAGAAAGCGCUGCCAGGGAGACAACCGGAAGUUUUAGAGAGUCAUUUAUUUCUGUUGUGUGUCUUUAUAAAGUUUAAAACAAAAAUAAUGUGCCAAGAUUUGCCUUUAGGAUGUUUAUAUUGCUUGUUAGUUUGUGUGGUGCAGAACAGAAACUUUGGCCGUAGUGCACGAUUUUACAUUUUUACUGGAACAUCAAACGGUUCUGAAACUUUUUGCACUGUCUUUAUAUACAAAUUGUUUAUUUUUCCUAUUUUUUCAGAAUUUUUGGAGUACCAGAAGUAUGGUGAAUGUUCAGAUUACUACAGACUGCCCUGUUUAAGACAGAUUCUGUUUUUGAUGCAUAGUUUGCUUGUUUUGAUGAAACUAUCAAUUUCUAUCAGUGGAUUAAGCCAUGGAAAAUUUAUAUUACAGUAGCUAUAAUGCAAAAACAAAAACAAAAUAUGAAUUGGUUUGCAACAGCACUUAGAGUAGUGAUUUGCUUUAUUAUACUAACGGAUCUUACCAAACUUUCUGUUGAGUUUUGUGUGGAUGAAGUGUUCGAAGAUCGAGGAUGUCUCGAUGUGAGGAGAAGAAGGAGAGGCAAGAGCUCAAGCUUGGGGAUGCCCAAGGCACCCCAAGUAAAUAUUUAAGGAGACUCAAGCGUCUAAGCUUGGGGAUGCCCCGGAAGGCAUCCCAUCUUUCUUCAACAAGUACCGGUAUGUUUUCGGAUUCGUUUCGUUCAUGCAAUAUGUGCAAAUCUUGGAGCGUCUUUUGCAUUUAGUUUUCACUUUUCUUUUAUGCACCAUGCUGGUAUGAGGUAGUACAUGGUUGAUUUAUAGAAUGCUCUUUGCACUUCACUUAUAUCUUUUGAGUAUAGGUUUAUAGAAUGCUUUAUGUGCUUCACUUAUAUCAUUUGAAGUUUGGAUUGCCUGUUUCUCUUCACAUAGAAAACCGCCAUUUGUAGAAUGCUCUUUUGCUUCACUUAUAUUUGUUAGAGCAUGGGCAUAUCUUUUGUAGAAAGAAUUAAACUCUCUUGCUUCACUUAUAUCUAUUUAGAGAGUUGACAGGAAUUGGUCAUUCACAUGGUUAGUCAUAAAAUCCUACAUAAAACUUGUAGAUCACUGAAUAUGAUAUGUUUGAUUCCUUGCAAUAGUUUUGCGAUAUAAAGAUGGUGAUAUUAGAGUCAUGCUAGUGGGUAGUUGUGGAUUGUAGAAGUACUUGUAUUGAAGUUUGUGAUUCCCGUAGCAUGCACGUAUGGUGAACCGUUAUGUAACGAAGUUGGAGCAUGAGGUAUUUAUUGAUUAUCUUCCUUAUGAGUGGCGGUCGGGGACGAGCGAUGGUAUUUUCCUACCAAUCUAUCCCCCUAGGAGCAUGCGCGUAGUACUUUUUUUCGACGACUAAUAGAUUUUUGCAAUAAGUAUGUGAGUUCUUUAUGACUAAUGUCGAGUCCAUGGAUUAUACGCACUCUCACCCUUCCAUCAUUGCUAGCCUCUUCGGUACCAUGCAUUGCCCUUUCUCACCUCGAGAGUUGGUGCAAACUUCGCCGGUGCAUCCAAACCCCGUGAUACGAUACGCUCUAUCACACUUAAGCCUCCUUAUAUCUUCCUCAAAACAGCCACCAUACCUACCUAUUAUGGCAUUUCCAUAGCCAUUCCGAGAUAUAUUGCCAUCCAACUUUCAUCAUCAUCAUAUACAUGACUUGAGCAUUUAUUGUCAUAUUGCUUUGCAUGAUCGUAAGAUAGCUAGCAUGAUGUUUUCAUGGCUUGUCCCUUUUUUGAUGUCAUUGCUACGCUAGAUCAUUGCACAUCCCGGUACACCGCCGGAGGCAUUCAUAUAUAGUCGUAGUUUGUUCUAGACACCGAGUUGUAAUAUUGAGUUGUAAGUAAAUAAAAGUGUGAUGAUCAUCAUUAUUAGAACAUUGUCCCAUGUGAGGUUAUCAAAAUAAAAGUGGCCAAAGGAUCCCCCAAAAAAGAGAGAGAGGCCAAAGAAGCCUAAAAAAAGAGAGAAAAAUAAAAAAUGAGAGAAAAGAGAGAAGGGACAAUGUUACUAUCCUUUUACCACACUUGUGCUUCAGAGUAGCACCAUGUUCUUCAUAUAGAGAGUCUCUUGAGUUAUCACUUUCAUAUACUAGUGGGAAUUUUCAUUAUAGAACUUGGCUUGUAUAUUCCAACGAUGGGCUUCCUCAAAUGCCCUAGGUCUUCAUGAGCAAGCAAGUUGGAUGCACACCCACUUAGUUUCAGUUUGAGCUUUCAUACACUUAUAGCUCUAGUGCAUCCGUUGCAUGGCAAUCCAUACUCCUCACAUUGACAUCAAUUGAUGGGCAUCUCCAUAGCCCGUUGAUUAGCCACGUCGAUGUGAGACUUUCUCCUUUUUGUCUUCUCCACACAACCUCCAUCAUCAUAUUCUAUUCCACCUAUAGUGCUAUAUCCAUGGCUCACGCUCAUGUCUUGCGUGAAAGUUGAAAAGGUUUGAGAACAUCAAAAGUAUGAAACAAUUGCUUGGCUUGUCAUCGGGGUUGUGCAUGAUUUGAACAUGAUUACUUUAUUAGUAUGCUUGAAGUAUUAUUGUCUUAAUGUCAAAUGGUAGACUAUUGCUUUGAAUCACUUGUGUCUUAAUAUUCAUGCCAUGAUUAGAUUACAUGAUCAAGAUUAUGCUAGGUAGCAUUCCACAUAAAAAAUUAUCGUUUUUUAUCAUUUACCUACUCGAGGACGAGCAGGAAUAAAGCUUGGGGAUGCUGAUACGUCUCCGUCGUAUCUAUAAUUUUUGAUUGUUCCAUGCCAAUAUUCUACAAAUUUUACAUACUUUUGGCAACUUUUUAUACUAUUUUUGGGACUAACAUAUUGAUCCAGUGCCCAGUGCCAAUUCCUGUUUGUUGCAUGUUUUUUGUUUCGUAGAAAAUCCAUAUCAAACAGAGUCCAAACGGGAUAAAAACUGACGGAGAUUUUUUUUGGAAUAUAUGUGAAUUUUGGGAAGUGGAAUCAACGCGAGACGAUGCCCGAGGAGCCCACGAGGAUGAGGGGCGCGCCCCAGGGGGUCAGGCGCGCUCUGGGCCCUCGUGGCCACUCCGUAAGGCGGUUGGUGCCCAUAUUUCUCCGCAAGAAAGCCAAUAUCCGGAUAAAAAUCGUGUCCAAAUUUCAGCCCAGUCGGAGUUACGGAUCUCCGGUAAUAUAAGAAACGGUGAAAGGGCAGAAUCAGGAACGCAGAAACAGAGAGAGACAGAGAGACAGAUCCAAUCUCGGAGGGGCUCUCGCCCCUCCCAUGCCAUGGAAGCCAAGGACCAGAGGGGAAACUCUUCUCCCAUCUAGGGAGAAGGUCAAGGAAGAAGAAGAAGAAGGGGGAUCUCUCCCCCUCUCUUCCGGUGGCGCCGGAACGCCGCCGGGGCCAUCAUCGUCAUCGCAAUCUACACCAACACCUCCGUCAUCUUCACCAACAUCUUCAUCACCUUCCCCCAUCUAUCUACAAUGGUCCACUCUCCCGCAACCCGCUGUACCCUCUACUUGAACAUGGUGCUUUAUGCUUCAUAUUAUUAUCCAAUGAUGUGUUGCCAUCCUAUGAUGUCUGAGUAGAUUUUCGUUGUCCAAUCGGUAAUUGGUGAAUUGCUAUGAUUGGUUUAAUUUGCUUGUGGUUAUGUUGCUGUCCUUUGGUGCCCAUCAUAUGAGUGCGUGCGUGGAUCACACCAUAGGGUUAGUUGUAUGUUGAUAGGACUAUGUAUUGGAGGGCAAGAGUGACCAAAGCUUCAACCUAGCAUAGAAAUUGAUGCAUACAGGAUUGAAGGGGGACUAAUAUAUCUUAAUGUUAUGGUUGAGUUUUACCUUAAUGAACGUUAGUAGUUGCGGAUGCUUGCUAAUAGUUCCAAUCAUAAGUGCAUAGAAUUCCAAGUCAGGGAUGACAUGCUAGCAAUGGCCUCACCCACAUAAAACUUGCUAUCGGUCUAGUAAAGUAGUCAAUUGCUUAGGGACAACUUCGCAACUCGUACCACCACUUUUCCACGCUCGCUAUACUAACUUUAUGGGACAAUUGCAUUUUUACCCCUAGUUGGGUCCUACCCACGGGUUUUGCCCUUACUUUUCGAGCUUGCUCAGUUUUGCCCUUACUUUUUCCGUCGAGGUCCCUCGACUGCCCUUUGACUGUUUCACCAAAACUUUGAAAAUUCAUAACUAAUUCAUAUGAACUCACAAAAAUGCAAAUAAGAUAUCAAAAUAGUCAGAUAAACAUUACCUUUAUGUGCAUAUCAUUUGCAUUCAGGACAAAAGCACCCUUUAAACUACCUGAGGUAAUUAAUGUUAUUAACAUUAUUAAAAAUAAAAAGGUAUAAACAAUAUUUUUUUCAUGAAUAAAAAUUACAUGCAAAUGUAGGUGAUGUUUAUCAACUUGUUAUGAAGUUUCCAAAUAAUGGUCAAAGUCGUUAGAACAUUCUUAACAAGAUGAUACAAACUCAGAAAAAUGCAAAUAAGAUAUCUGGAUGUCCAGAAAACAUCACCUACAUUUGCAUGCAGUUUUUAUUCAUGAAAAAAAUAUUGUUUAUACCUUUUUAUUUUUAAUAAUGUUAAUAACAUUAAUUACCUCAGGUAGUUUAAAGGGUGCUUUUGUCGUAACUGCAAAUGACAUGCACAUAAAGGUAAUGUUUAUCUAAACGUUUUGAUAUCUUAUUUUCAUUUUUCUGAGUUCAUAUAAAUUAGUUAUGAAUUUUCAAAGUUUUGGUCAAACGGUCAAAGGGCAUUCGAGGGACCAUGACGGAAAAAGUAAGGGCAAAACUGAGCAAGCUCGAAAAGUAAGGGCAAAACCCGUGGGUAGGAACCAACUAGGGGUAAAAAUGCAAUUGUCCCAUACUAUUAAGAAGGGAUGAGGUGUUGCUUAAUGAGGAUCUUGCUCAAAAUGCUUAGUGAUAUGCUCCAAAACCCUCCACUACUUUCUCAUAUCCACAUAUGUCCUAAACCAAAAAGUCCAACUCGGCCCCACCGAUUCUUUCCAUCCGGAGCCACCGAGUUCAGUUGACAUAGCCACUGCCAGAAACCCUAAUCAUUUCGGUCUCAGCGAUAGGGAUCUCGGUCUCACCGAGAUGAGGUUGCAAACUCUCUGUUUCCCUUCGUAACGUUUCGGUCAAACCGAGAUGAGCGAUCAGUCCCACCGAGAUUGCAAUGCAAACUCUCUGUUUCCUUUUCGUAACGUUUCGGUCCAACCGAGAUGAGCGAAUCGGUCCCACCGAGUUUGCCUGACCAACUCUCUGUUUGGCUAUUACCAAAAUCGGCCUCACCGAGUUUGUGUAAUCGGUCUCACCGAGAUUACGUUAGGCCCUAACCCUAAUGACAUCGGUCCCACCAAGUUGACAUGUCGGUCCCACCGAGAAUCCUAACGUUCACAUUUUGAACCAAAUCGGUCCGACCGAGUUUAAUGAUUCGGUCCCACCGAGUUUGGUGAUUUGUGUGUAAGGGUUAGAUUUUGUGUGGAGGCUAUAUAUACCCCUCCACCCCCUCUUCAUUCAUGGAGAGAGCCAUCAGAACAUGCCUACACUUCCAAUACAUAUUUUCUGAGAGAGAACCACCUACACUUGUGUUGAGGUCAAGAUAUUCCAUUCCAACCACAUAAAUAUUGAUCUCUAGCCUUCCCCCAGUUGCUUUCCACUCAAAUCUUCUUUCUACCAAAUCCAAUCCUAUGAUAGAGAGUUGAGUGUUGGGGAGACUAUCAUUUGAAGCACAAGAGCAAGGAGUUCAUCAUCAACACACCAUUUGUUACUUCUUGGAGAGUGGUGUCUCCUAGAUUGGCUAGGUGUCACUUGGGAGCCUCCGACAAGAUUGUGGAGUUGAACAAGGAGUUUGUAAGGGCAAGGAGAUCGCCUACUUCGUGAUCUACCCUAGUGAGGCAAGUCCUUCGUGGGCGACAACCAUGGUGGGAUAGACAAGGUUGCUUCUUCGUGGACCCUUCGUGGGUGGAGCCCUCCGUGGACUCGCGCAACCGUUACCCUUCGUGGGUUGAAGUCUCCAUCAACGUGGAUGUACGAUAGCACCACCUAUCGGAACCACGGAUAAAAAAUCUCCGUGUCAACAUUGCGUUUGCUCUCUCAAACUCAUCCCUUUACCUUCAUAUGCAAUUGUUUUACAUUCCGCUGCUAUACUCUUAGAAUUGCAUGUGUAGGUUGAUUGCUUGAGUUGUGCUAAGUUGCUAAAAUCUGCCAAGAACUAAAAUUGGGAAAAGGCUAGAUUUUUAUUUGGUCAAGUAGUCUAAUCACCCCCCCUCUAGACAUACUUCCGAUCCUACAAGUGGUAUCAGAGCUUUGGUCUCCAUUUGCUUUGAUUUCCAUAGCUUUUGGUGGUCAUAGCCUUGGUUUCACAACCUAGGAGAGUAUGGCGUCUAGCGAGGGAAAGUACCACCGUAGAGGGAAAGUACCAACGAGUAAAGAGACUUGCCGGUAACAAGAUUGAACUAGGUAUGAUGAUACCAACGAUCGAAUUUCGGGCAAGUAACAUACCGAUGACAAAGGGAAUGACGUAUGUUGUUAUGCGGUUUGACCGAUAAAGAUCUUCGUAGAAUAUGUAGGAGCCAAUAUGAGCAUCCAGGUUCCGCUAUUGGUUAUUGACCGGAGAUGUGUCUCGGUCAUGUCUACAUAGUUCUCGAACCCGUAGGGUCCGCACGCUUAAUGUUCGAUGAUGAUUUGUAUUAUGAGUUAUGUGAUUUGAUGACCGAAGUUUGUUCAGAGUCCCGGAUGAGAUCACGUACAUGACGAGGAGUCUCGAAAUGGUCGAGAUGUAAAGAUUGAUAUAUUGGAAGGUUAUAUACGUGUAACGCCCACGAUGCGGCUAUAUCUCCCACGUGUCGAGGCACGACUUAGAGGCAUAACCGCAUAGUGGUUUUGUCGCAAGAAGGGUCAUCUUUACACAAUCCCAUGUAAUGAACAAGAAUGGGAUAAAGAGUUGGCUUACAAUCGCCACUUGAAAAAGAUAUGGAAUCAACAUAUGAAUUAGAAGCAACUCGAAUACCACGAUACAAAAUAAAACAAAGUAUUGGCUUGCAAAAUAAGCCGGAACAAACAUAUGAUAGAUAUUUCGUCCGAAGUUUUCGUGGUGGGGCCCACACGGGCUUAAUCGUACAGCACCAUCAUGUACAAGGCUGUGCACAUGACAUACGAAGCGUCCCCGAGUCGGCAAAGCCAUGGACUCUUUAAGACACAACGAGACCACUGUAAAAUCAACCGUGGAAAGGCGGACCACUAGACGUCGAACCCCAAUCUCAUAUCAUGCGUCUGUCGGAAAGAUAUCCUAAGGCUACUUGAAUUCCCACUUAUAAACUCCCAAAACUUUCUGGUUAUGCAAUCUGGUGUAAGGGAUACAGGGGACACAAAAUAUAUCACCCAAACUAGCAAUCCCUAGAUCCAGCUGUAUCCAUCCGUCAACACAUAACCAAGAAACCUUCGGAAAUCGUUUACCUCAACCUUCGAAAAACAUCCGUUAUACAAGUUAUGGCAAUACUCCCGAACUCCCGCCCCAGUACUGGGUGGCGUCGAGGUGAUCUCACCAACAACUGCAUAAAAGAGAUUUCGAUGUCGGCGAAACUCAGGUAUUCCAGAACUGCAACGAUAAAAUUGUGACGACAACACCUCGGAGCUCAACUCCCCGGGACACUGCCACAACCCCUAAAUGUCAGGAGGCACCAAGAACAAUGUUCUCGUCACAAAGCCAUCGGCUAAGAGAUUCCAACUUAGGAGCCCCCUGCUUGAUCGAAUCGCUGGCGUUGUACCUUGGAAUCGUUCCGAUGGCUUUGUGACGAGAACAUUGUUCUUGGUGCCUCCUGACAUUUAGGGGUUGUGGCAGUGUCCCGGGGAGUUGAGCUCCGAGGUGUUGUCGUACAAUUUUAUCGUUGCAGUUCUGGAAUACCUGAGUUUCGCCGACAUCGAAAUCUCUUUUAUGCAGUUGUUGGUGAGAUCACCUCGACGCCACCCAGUACUGGGGCGGGAGUUCGGGAGUAUUGCCAUAACUUGUAUAACGGAUGUUUUUCGAAGGUUGAGGUAAACGAUUUCCGAAGGUUUCUUGGUUAUGUGUUGACGGAUGGAUACAGCUGGAUCUAGGGAUUGCUAGUUUGGGUGAUAUAUUUUGUGUCCCCUGUAUCCCUUACACCAGAUUGCAUAACCAGAAAGUUUCGGGAGUUUAUAAGUGGGAAUUCAAGUAGCCUUAGGAUAUCUUUCCGACAGACGCAUGAUAUGAGAUUGGGGUUCGACAUCUAGUGGUCCGCCUUUCCACGGUUGAUUUUACAGUGGUCUCGUUGUGUCUUAAAGAGUCCAUGGCUUUGCCGACUCGGGGACGCUUCGUAUGUCAUGUGCACAGCCUUGUACAUGAUGGUGCUGUACGAUUGAGCCCGUGUGGGCCCCACCACGAAAACUUCGGACGAAAUAUCUAUCAUAUGUUUGUUCCGGCUUAUUUUGCAAGCCAAUACUUUGUUUUAUUUUGUAUCGUGGUAUUCGAGUUGCUUCUAAUUCAUAUGUUGAUUCCAUAUCUUUUUCAAGUGGCGAUUGUAAGCCAACUCUUUAUCCCAUUCUUGUUCAUUACAUGGGAUUGUGUAAAGAUGACCCUUCUUGCGACAAAACCACUAUGCGGUUAUGCCUCUAAGUCGUGCCUCGACACGUGGGAGAUAUAGCCGCAUCGUGUGCGUUACAAUACGGACAUCGGAAUGGUUCCGAUAAGGUUCGGGGAUUUAUCGGAGUACCGGGAGGCUAUCGGAACCCCCCGGGAAAGUUAUUGGGCCUAAUGGGCCAUAGUGGAGAAGAGGAGGCAGGCCACAGGAGGUGGGGCGCGCCCUCCUUGCCCCAAUCCAAAUUGGACAAGGGGAGGGGGUGCGACCCCCCUCUUUCCUUCUCCCUCUCCCUCCUUUCCCCUUACCCCCUCUCCGUUGGAAGGAAAGGGGGCGAAUCCUACUAGGUUUGGAGUCCUAGUAGGACUCCCCCCUGGCGUGCCUCCCCCUUGGCCGGCCUCCUCCUCCCCCCUCCUUUAUAUACGUGGGCAGGAGGGCACCCCAAAGCACAACAGACAAUCUCUUAGCCGUGUGCGGUGCCCUCCUCCACAGUUUAACACCUCGGUCAUAUCGUCGUAGUGCUUAGGUGAAGCCCUGUGCCGGUAACUUCAUCAUCACCGUCGCCACGCCGUCGUGCUAACGAAACUCUCCCUCGUCCUCAACUGGAUCAAGAGCUCGAGGGACGUCAUCGUGUUGAACAUGUGCUGAACAUGGAGGUGCCGUACGUUCAGUACUUGGAUCGGUUGGAUCGUGAAGACGUACAUCAACCGCGUUACUAAAUGCUUCCGCUUUCGGUAUACGAGGGUACGUGGGCACACUCUCCCGUCUCGUUGCUAUGCUUCUUCUAGAUAGAUCUUGCGUGAUCAUAGGAAUUUUUUGAAUUACUACGUUCCCCAACAGUGGCAUCCGAGCCAGGUCUAUGCAUAGAUGUUAUAUACACGAGUACAACACAAAGACUUGUGGGCGAUAAUAGUCAUGCUGCUUACCACCAACGUCUUACUUUGAUUCGGCGGUAUUGUUGGAUGAAGCGGCCCGGACCGACAUUACAUGACCGCGUUCAUGAGACUGGUUCUACCGACGUGCUUCGCACUCAGGUGGCUAGCGGGUGUCUGUUUCUCCAACUUUAGUUGAAUCAAGUUUGACUACGGCCGGUCCUUGUUGAAGGUUAAAAUAGCACACUUGAUAAAAAAUCGUUGUGGUUUUGAUGCGUAGGUAAGAACGGUUCUUGCUAGAAGCCCGUAGCAGCCACGUAAAACUUGCAACAACAAAGUAGAGGACGUCUAACUUGUUUUUGCAGGGCAUGUUUUGUUGUGAUAUGGUCAAGACGUGAUGAGAUAUAAAUUGUUGUAUGAGAUGAUCAUGUUUUGUAGAAGUUAUCGACAACUGGCCGGAGCCUUAUGGUUGUCGCUUUAUUGUAUGAAAUGCAAUCGCCAUGUAGUUGCUUUACUUUAUCACUAAGCGGUAGCGAUAGUCGUAGAAGCAAUAGUUAGCGAGACGGCAACGAUGCUACGAUGGAGAUCAAGGUGUCAAGCCGGUGACGAUGGAGAUCAUGACGGUGCUUUGGAGAUGGAGAUCAAAGGCAGAAGAUGAUGAUGGCCAUAUCAUGUCACAUAUUUUGAUUGCAUGUGAUGUUUAUCCUUUAUGCAUCUUAUUUUUCUUAGUACGGCCGUAGCAUUAUAAGAUGAUCCCUCACUAAAUUUCAAGGUAUAAGUGUUCUUCCUGAGUAUGCACCAUUGCUACAGUUCAUCGUGCCGAGACACCACGUGAUGAUCGGGUGUGAUAAGCUCUAUUUUCACAUACAACGGGUGCAAGCUAGUUUUGCACGUGCACAAUACUCGGGUUAAACUUGACGAGCCUAGUAUAUGCAGAUAUGGCCUCGGAACACUGAGACCGAAAGGUCGAACCUGAAUCAGAUAGUAGAUAUGAUCAACAUAGUGAUGUUCACCAUUGAAAACUACUCCAUCUCACGUGAUGAUCGGACAUGGUUUAGUUGAUGGAGCACGUGAUCAUUUAGAUGACUAGAGGGAUGUCUAUCUAAGUGGGAGUUCUUAAGUAAUAUGAUUAAUUGAACUUUAAUUUAUCAUGAACUUAGUCCUGAUAGUAUUUUUCAUAUCUAUGUUGUAGAUCAAUAGCUUGCGAUGUAGCUCCCCGUUUAUUUUUUGAUAUGUUCCUAGAGAAAAAUAAGUUAAAAUAUGAUAGUAGCAAUGAUGCGGACUGGGUCCGUGAUCUGAGGACUAUCCUCAUUGCUGCACAGAAGAAUUAUGUCCUUGAUGCACCGCUAGGUGACAGACCUAUUGCAGGAGCAGAUGCAGACGUUAUGAAUGUUUGGCAAGCUCGGUAUGAUGACUACUUGAUAGUUUAGUGCACCAUGCUUUACGGCUUAGAACCGGGACUUCAAAAAUGUUUUGAACGCCACGGAGCAUAUAAGAUGUUCCAAGAGCUGAAACUGGUAUUUCAGACUCAUGCCCGAGUCGAGAGGUAUGAGACCUCUGACAAGUAUUUUGCCUACAAGAUGGAGGAUAAUAGCUCAACAAGUGAGCAUGUGCUCAGAAUGUCUGAGUACUACUAUCGGUUGAAUCAAGUGGGAGUUAAUCUUCCAGAUAAGAUAGUGAUUGACAGAGUUCUCUAGUCACUAUCACCAAGUUGCUGGAACUUUGUGAUGAACUAUAAUAUGCAAGGGAUGACGAAAAGGAUUCCCGAGCUAUUCGUGAUGCUGAAAUCGGUGAAGGUAGAAAUCAAGAAAAGCAUCAAAUGUUGAUGGUUGGCAGGACACUAGUUUCAAGUAAAAGGGUAAUGGAAAGAAAGGGAAAUUCGAGAAGAAUGGCAAGCAAGUUGCCACUCCCAUGAAGAAGCCCAAAGCUAGACCCAAGCCUGAAACUAAGUGCUUCUACGGCAAAGGAAAUGGUCACUGGAAGCGGAACUAUCCCAAAUACUUGGCGGAUAAGAAGGAUGACAAAGUGAACAAAAGUAUAUAUGAUAUACAUGUUAUUGAUGUGUACUUUACUAGUGUUCAUAGUAGCCCCUGGGUACUUCAUAUCGGUUCAGUUGCUAUGAUUAGUAACUCGAAACAUGAGUUACAAAAUGAACAAACACUAGUUGAGGGCGAGGUGACGAUGUGUGUUGGAGAUGAUUCCAAGGUUGAUAAGAUCACCAUCGCAUACUCCCUCUACCUUCAGGAUUAGUAUUGGAACUAAAUAAAUGUUAUUUGGUGUUUGCGUUGAGCAUAAAUAUGAUUGGAUCAUGUUUAUUGUGAUACAGUUAUUCAUUUAAGUUAGAGAAUAAUUGUUGUUCUGUUUACAUGAAUAAAACCUUCUAUGGUCUUACAUCCAAUGUAAAUGGUUUACUGAAUCUCAAUCACAGUGAUACACAUAAUAUUGAUGUCAAAAGAUGCAAAGUUAAUAAUGAUAGUGCAACUUAUUUGCGGCAUUGCCGUUUAGGUCAUAUUGGUGUAAAGCGCAUGAAGAAACUCCAUGCUGAUGGGCUUUUGGAAUCACUUGAUGCUUGCGAACCAUGCCUCAUGGGCAAGAUGACUAAGACUCCGUUCUCCGGAACAAUGGAGCGAGCCACUGACUUAUUGGAAAUAAUACAUACUGAUGUAUGCGGUCCGAUGAGUGUUGAGGCUCGCGGCGAGUAUCGUUAUUUUUUGACAUUCGCAGAUGAUUUAAGCAGAUAUGGGUAUAUCUACUUAAUGAAACACAAGUCUGAAACAUUUGAAAAGUUCAAGGAAAUUCAGAGUGAAGUUGAGAAUCAUCGUAACAAGAAAAUAAAAUUUUCUACGAUCUGACCGUGGAGGCAAAUAUUUGAGUUACGAGUUUGACCUUUAGAAUAGUUUCACAACUCAUGCCACCUUGAACACCACAGCGUAAUGGUGUGUCCGAAUGUCGUAACUGUACUUUAUUAGAUAUGGUGCGAUCUAUAAUGUCUCUUACCAAUUUACCGCUAUUAGUCCUUGACAAUGGUGAUUCGUAAUCUUGGUUCCCAGCGACGUCGACCAGGCUAUUCGGUUGCUUUUCCGAGAAUACUGAUGUUGGUACUCUUGCCGAUGUUGGUUGAUUACUGCGUCGAGCGCGUAGCCUUGGCAUUGCGCUUCAAAAUUAAAAUUAUGGAAGUACCCUCGUUGGUAUUUAUAAGUCUGUGGUUUGGUAUUUAUGUCAUUUUUCUAUGUCUGCCUUCAGAAAAGUACAAUAGGUCUGCCUUCAGAAAAAUACAAUAAUGUGUCAUGAAAGAAGAGAGAAUUUGAAGAUCUCAAAGAUUUAAUCGUUUCUUUUAGAUUUUAUUUUGUAAUCACUGGACCAUCACUACUGGAAUCAGCUUCCUUGCCGUCUACCGACUCUUUGCCGUCAGCUAGCUGACGACAAAGAAAGGAUUUGCCAUCAACCACCGUAAAACGAACGACAAAGAAGCAGUGGACGGCAACGAAAGGCUUUGCCAUCAGCAUAUCUUUGCCGUCCGCUAGCGGACGGCAAAGAGGAUGGGUGGUGGGCUUACGAGGAUGACCUAACGACCAUUUUCUUUGUCGUCUGCUGACGGACGGGAAAAGUACUUUGCCAUCAGCCAGCGGACGGCAAAGAAAGUGGCCGUUAGGUCGUCCGUUCCCCCCGGCCCCACCCCACUAGGUACGCUCUUUGCCGUCCGCGACAAAGAGUUGUGCCCUACUAGCUAGCUAGCAGAAAAGGGGCCGCGCCCGCGCCCCCUCGGCCCUCUCUGAUCUGUCCGUCCCCUGCCCGAGCCGCCGCCACCCCUCACCCCUGCCGCCGCCCUAACCAGCGCAGCCACCCCCGUCGCCGGCCGCCCCACGCCACCCCCGUCGNNNNNNNNNNNNNNNNNNNNNNNNNNNNNNNNNNNNNNNNNNNNNNNNNNNNNNNNNNNNNNNNNNNNNNNNNNNNNNNNNNNNNNNNNNNNNNNNNNNNNNNNNNNNNNNNNNNNNNNNNNNNNNNNNNNNNNNNNNNNNNNNNNNNNNNNNNNNNNNNNNNNNNNNNNNNNNNNNNNNNNNNNNNNNNNNNNNNNNNNNNNNNNNNNNNNNNNNNNNNNNNNNNNNNNNNNNNNNNNNNNNNNNNNNNNNNNNNNNNNNNNNNNNNNNNNNNNNNNNNNNNNNNNNNNNNNNNNNNNNNNNNNNNNNNNNNNNNNNNNNNNNNNNNNNNNNNNNNNNNNNNNNNNNNNNNNNNNNNNNNNNNNNNNNNNNNNNNNNNNNNNNCGGCCGCAUCGCACCGCCCGGCCCCGCCCCGUCGCCGCCCUGCCCCUCAUCGUGGUGAGUUUUUUUUCUGUUUUUUUAGAUUCAGUUUAUGUUUGUUUAGUUUAGGUUAAUUAGGUUAGUUUAGUUUAGGUUAGUUUAGGUUAAUUUAGUUUAUUUUAGGUGUCAUUUAGUUUAUAGUUUUGUUUAGUUUUUUUCUUGUUUUUAAGAAUAAUCGAGAAAGAUGAAAGAAAAAGAAAAAGAAGAAGAGGAAGAAGAAGAAGAAGAAGAAGAAGAAAGAACAAUAAGUAGUAGAAGAAGAAGAUGAUGAAAAAAAGAAGUAGAAGUUGAAGAUGAAAAAAAGUAGGAAAAGGGGCCGCCCGGGGACGAGCGGGUUAAUUAGGGGGUUCCUCGGUGUCGAUGGAACCCUAAAUAGCAAGUAUCGUCGGUGCGAGAUACAUGUGGCCGUCGGUGUCGAACACUACAUCCAUGUCCCACAAGUGACGCCGGAAGCAACUGUUCUCGGCGUCGAUGGCAGUCGAACACCAUCGCGAAUUUGUCUGGCAGCCUCUGCGAUGAAGAUUAAAAGGCAAGUGUUGAAACUUGAAACACCCAAACUGACUCAAGUCGGUUUGGUUGUUUGAAAUUUCAAAACUUGGCUUUAAUCCUCAUCGCAGAGGCUGCCAGACAAAUUCGCGAUGGUGUUCGACCGUGAUCGGCCACCAGAACUAUUGUUGCGGGACGCCGGGCGCCGGCUUCACUUGUGGAAUGUGGAUCUAGUGUUCAACGCCGAGCGCCACAUGUAUCUCGCACCGAUGAUACUUGCUAUUUAGGGUUCCAUCGACGCCACGGACCCCCUAACCCGCUCGUCCUGUUGUCAAUAUUUAGUUAGGUCGACGGAAGAAACAAAAUUGCUAUGUUACUCAUCUUUGGAUUUAAAUGUGCAGUUAUUUCGUCGCUGCGCGAGGGUCUAGUGUUCGACGAGCUCCGCCCCUGCGUUCGUUGGUGAGCACAAAUGAUGUCUCCCGAUGAAACUUGCUAGCUAUAGGUGUCAAUCAUCAGUAUGCGUAACCACUAUGCGUCUCCCGUUCGAAAGGGUUACAUCUAUAAAUAUGCAUGCAUUUGCAUAUUUAUAAUCGUGAUUCUUUCGAAUUGUCCAACGUUAUCCAUGGACAGCCCGAGUAUGUGUAGAUUGGGUUCGUUUUCCCAUAUGCUCUGCUCCGGAUCCGAUGCAGAAUUUCGUCAGUGCCUCCCUGUUGUUCUUCGGGUACACAUCCUCUCUGCUUAUUGCCGACACAUGUAUCAGGAGAACAGCGGGGAGGUGCUGCCAAAAUUUUGCGUCGGAUCCGGAGCAGAGCAUGGGAAAACGAACCCAAUCUACACAUACUCGGGUGGGAUUAGGACCUACCUUUACCUAUUAGCGUGUAGGUUGCAUGGACGUAAUAAAGCUGACAAACUCCAUGAACUGAUGGAUAUGGUUUGCUUAAUUAUGUAUAUAUUUCUUGUGUGUCCAGUAGGAAGUCAAUAUGAGUGAUCGUGCAUGGAUGUACACCGGUUACACUAUUCAGAAAGUUUGGACCGAGGAAUGGUUAACAAAAACCAAGGGGUUUGUUAGAGCCGCAUUUGCAAAUGGCCAGGAAUUUAGCUGGUGCCCCUGUGCCCGUUGCGACAACUAUAAAAAGAGGGACAAGCUUGAAAUGAGUAAAGACCUGUAGAAGUUUGGUUUUACGCCUGGUUACAUGGUCUGGACAUUACAUGGUGAGUCUUCCCAACGUGCCAGAGCCGAGGUUCAUCGACGCACCGACGAGCAUGGUACCGGGACCGCAGACAUGGUGCAAGACUUUGACGAUGCUCGGGACUCGUACGAGGAGAUGGAGGAAUCUGCAAAGGCCUUCACUGAAAUGUUGGAGUCCUCAAAACGUCCUCUCCAUGAGCACACUGAGCUUUGUUAGCUGGAUGCCAUCUCACAAAUAAUGGCUUUGAAGGCUCAAUUCAACUUGGGCAGAGAAUGCUACGACGCGAUGGUGACAGUAUUCAGACGAUUUCUACCCAAAGGCCAUGUGCUACCUCCAAACCUGUACCAGUCAGACAAAAUCCUCCGUGCUCUUAAGAUGCCCUAUGAGAAGAUACAUGUCUGUGAGAAAGGAUGUGUCUUAUUUAGGCUUCAGUAUGAGGACUUGAACUAUUGUCCCAUUUGCAAUUCUUCCAGGUAUGUUAUGGUAGACAACGGUAUGGGUGAGAAGACGCAGACCAAAAUACCCGUUAAUGUUCUUCGGUAUAUGCCAAUCGUACCAAGACUUCAACGUCUUUUCAUGGUCGAAGAGACGAUCAGACAGAUGACAUGGCACAAAACGGGCAAAAGAACCGAACUAGAUGCAGAUGGGAAUGUGAUGAUGGUGCACACAUCGGAUGGUGAAGCGUGGAAGCGCUUCGAUGCAUUACAUAAGGAAAAAAGGGCAGAUCCAAGGCAUCCUCGAGUCACCGUUAGCACAGAUGAGUUCAGUGUGUUUGGUCAGAUGGCAACCCCAUACAACUGUUGGCCCGUAUUUGUCAUUCCACUCAAUCUCCCCCCCCCCCCGGGUAGAUUAUGCAAAGAAAGAAUAUUUUCCUGACAUUGAUAAUUCCAGGGCCCAACUAUCCUGGGAAGAAUAUGAAUGUGUACAUGCAGCCGCUUAAGGACGAAUUGCAAGAAGCUUGGGAUAAUGGGUUCAAGACAUACGACGCCUUUAGCAAACAGAACUUCAUAAUGCGUGCCUGGUACAUGUACUCGACGCAUGACUUGCCGGCGUAUGCGCUAUUCGUUGGCUGGUGUGUGCAUGGAAGGUUCCCGUGCCCCACAUGCAAGGGAGCUCUUGAGUUUCAUUGGUUGACGGCAGGGCGCAAGUAUAGUUGCUUCGACUUGCAUAGACCGUUUCUACAUCCUGGCGAUAAGUUCAGGAAAGACAAGAAGAACUUCAUCAAAGGCAGAGUUGUCAAACACUCUGCACCACCUGCGUUGACAGGCCAACAGACCCUAGAUCAGUUAAACGCUCUCGAGCCAGAUCCAGAGCGUCUAGGGUAUUUCAAGGGGUAUAAUAAGGAACACGCCUGGACUCACAAGACAUGCUUCUGGGAUGUGCCUUACUUCAAAGACCUCCUUUGCCCACACAGCAUCGACGUGAUGCACACUGAAAAGAAUAUCGCCGAAGCCAUUUUUGGUACAUUGUUCGGCAUAGAAGGGAAAUCAAAGGAUAAUGCUAAGGCUAGAGUCGAUCAAGAGGAGCUAUGUGAUAGACCGUUACAAAACAUGAAAGAACCAAAAGGAAAGGGGAUCAAUUGGACGAAGCGAAAGGCAUGGUUCAAUCUUGGAAGGCUAGCUAUGAAGGAAAUUAUUUUGUGGGUGAAAAUGCAGUUGAUGUUCCCCGAUGGGUAUGCAGCAAAUCUAAAGAGGGGAGCGAAUCUUCAAAAAUUGAAAAUAUUUGGUCUAAAAAGUCAUGAUUGGCACAUAUGGAUUGAGCGGAUAAUGCCGGUGAUGUUGCGUGGCUUCAUCCCUGAGGAUAAAUGGCUAGUACUGGCAGAGCUGAGCUAUUUCUUCCGUGUUCUUUGUGCGAAAGAACUAUCGCCUGGCCUCAUAGAAGAAAUGGAAUAGUUGGCGCCGGAGUUGAUCUGCAAGUUAGAGAAGAUCUUUCCGCCAAGCUUCUUUAAUCCAAUGCAACACUUGAUUUUGCAUCUCCCGACCGAGGCACGAUUGGGGGGGGGCGUGCAAAAUCGUUCGUGCUACUCAAGUGAGAGGAUGCAGAAGAUGCUUCGAGCAAAAUGUAAAAAUAAACAUAGAAUAGAAGCAUCGAUGGCGGAGGCAUUCAUCACUGAGGAGGCGGCAAACUUCAUGACAGCACACUACGAAGCCAAAAAUCGUCAUUUGCAUAAUCCGAAGCCUCGGUACAAUGCUGACGAACCUCAAAAGGGUCAAUCCAACCUCAGCCUAUUCAAAGGGAAUCUCGCACCAGCCGGUGGUUGGAAACCAGUAAGGUUGGAUGUUGAAGAAUGGCAGACCAUUUCGCUGUAUCUCUUCAACAAUCUAACAGAAGUGCGGCCGUACAUCGAGUAAGAUCUCGGUACAUUGUUUCACAACUUCUAAUUCCUUUCAACUUCUCUUAUUCCUGGAUAUUUGAUGCAGUCGAUACGUCGCCAUAUUCUCGUAUGGAGCGGUGAUCCAAAAGGACUCCGUCGAAGAGUAUGAGCUUCUGGCAAAACAAGGAGCCGAAUAUCCCGGUUUCAUCUCUUGGUUCAAAAAAAGGUAAUUUCCAUUAGACCCUUUCUUUUCUUUGGCUAAUUUAUGGCUAAUGCAACAAUCCUUUCGUAUUAAACUUGUAGGCUAAUUCAGAGAUUAUGGAUGCCGAAUUGAGACAAGUAGCUAAUGGUUUUGACUAUAAGGUCCGUUCAUUUCACAAAUACGACAUCAACGGGUAUCGCUUUCGUACGUAUGGCAAAGAGCUAUCUAUGGCCGACCGAAAGUCUACAAAUUGUUGUGUCUCUGCUAUCGGCGAAGGAGGUAUCGAGUAUUAUGGAAGAGUUGAAGCAAUUUAUGAACUUGAAUUCUAUGGUGAAAACCCACCAAACGUCGUAGUCUUCAGAUGUUAUUGGUUCCAGCCGAGGGAGACUAGAAGGACUCAUGAACAUAUAGGGCUAGUUGAAAUCAAACAAAGCACCCAUUUGGAUGUUCCCGAUGUCUAUAUUACGGCUCAACAGGCAACCCAAGUUUUCUAUCUACUGUGUGCCUGUCAAAGUGAUCCAAAUCUCAGUGGUUGGGACGUCGUUUAUGAAGUGCCGCCACGUGUUAGACCACCUCCCCCCAAUGAAAAGUAUUAUGAACCUCACAUUAACCAAGACACAUAUAACGAAGGAGAAUUCUUCCAAAAAACACGUCUUUCCAAAAAAGUUUCAAGAACCGCUCUACUCCACCCAGAAUAUUGAACUAGACAACGAUAGUGAAUCCGACUUCACCCCUGAGCCGGAACAAGAAGAGCCGGAAGAAGAAGAAGUUACUGCUGCAGAUGACCUGUCAAUGCUUGAACAAUUACGUAAAGGUGGCCUUCCACAUGAUGAUGCAUUUAUUAAUGAUGAUGAUGAGCACGUCAGUACCGAUAGUGAUGAUGAUGAUGCUUUUAUUAAUGAUGAUGACGAGCACGUCAUUACCGAUAGUGAAUAUUAGGUAUUCAAAUUUUUACGUUGUACUUGAUUUAUAUAGUUAUUUGUAUGAUUGUAUGCUUUAUAUAGUUGCUAUUUAUAAUUUUCUUACUUUGUAUGAUUGUUUCUUAUACAUAGUGCCAUGGUCUUGAUGUCCGCCCCGGUCGGCCCUCGCCUGCUUUAUGAUUCGGAUGUGGUAAAUUCUCUUUCAUAACUAUUUGUUGCAUUUCGCAUUUAUGACAAUUAUGGCCAUCAAGUUGACAUAGAGAUAUUUUAAUCUAGGAGGUAUGUGAACCGGAAUUUGAAACGGACCCUCUUGUCGAGAAGUUAAAUUUAGUUGAAAAAAAUGAGUAUUUGAAAGAAAAAAUUAAAAGAAUUGAAGAAGAGAAGAUGACAUUGUAGUUGUAUGUUGCCGAUGUCAUCGAUGAUCACAAGAUGAAGAUGAAUGCAAUGCGCUUGAAGAUGGAUGCAAUCCGCCUGAAGCUUAAGAAGAUUAGAAAAUAUGCCAUUGAUAAUGAGGCUUGGUAUCAUUAUGCCGUUGGAUCAAUUGUUACCUUAGUUGCGAUCUUCAUCACAUUUGUUGUGAUGAGGGUAAGUUUUCUCUAGUGUUUUGCUUUACAAAUGGAUACUUAGCUUAUUUUCCUCCUAAAUGGCAUAAUUACCUAAGUUAGGUAAAAAAUGAGCUAUACUUAGCUUAUUCAGUUCAUUUAUGACAUACUUAGCAUACUUAGGUAAAAAAUGGCAUGAUAAUCUUUGUUAGCUCCUAAAUGAUAUAGACUUAGCUUAUUUUCCUCGAAAAUGACAUAAUAACCUUACUAAGCUCGAAAAUGACCUAUUUACCUAGCUUAGCUCUAAAAUGACCUACACUUAGCAUUUUUACGUAGCUUAGCAAUAAAAUGAAAUUUUUACCUACCUUAGUUAGAAGAAGAAGAAGAUAAAGAAGAGGAGAGGAGAAAAAGAAAGAGAAGAAAAAAAAAUCUUCUUCUUCUUCUAACUAGUCUUCUUCUUCUUUUUCUUCUAACUAGUCUUCUUCUUCUUCUUCUUCUUCUAACUUUUAUGUUUUCCAAUUUGCAGAUUUGCUUUACAUGAGGAAGCUUGGAUUCAUGGAGUGUACUAUUCUUCUGGUGCUUCCUUGUUGUUUAUGGAAACUUGUUUGGAUAUGUUGUUGGAAACUUGUUUCUGGUUAUGUAUAUAUGGAUAUGUUGGACUUUGUUGACCUAUGUUGUUGGAUUUGAUGAAAUAUGUUGUUGGACAUGCUGUUGGAUAUGUUGGAUAUGUAUGCAUGUAUAUCUGUUUGAAACCAUGUCUAAUUAAUGGGAUUUAAAUAAAAACGGGAGAUAUAUAGCCUCUUUGCCGUCCGCUAGCAGACGACAAAGAGGACACGUGGCAGUCACCUGUGCAAACUGGGAACACUGGCUGCCUAUUUGGUCAUUUUCUCGUCCGCCAGCAGACGGCAAAGUGACCAUCUAUGUCGUCUGCCAGCAGACGGCAAAGAUUCAAACCUCUUUGUCGUCUGCUGGCGGACGACAUAGAUGGACACGUGGCAGCUUUCCAGUUCUGCCUGGCUGAGCUCUUUGCCGUUUGCCAGCGGACGGCAAAAAAGCGCCGUUAACCCCCUAACGGCGCUCACGCCACAGUACUGCCGUCCCCUAUCUUUGCCGUCUGCUGGCCUCGAUCGGCGGACGGCAUAAUUCUUUGCCAUCCGUUUCUAGAAAGCAGACGACAAAGAAGGCCUUUGCUGGCACGUGCUCAUCCGGACAGUUUGCCGUCCGUGAUCCAUGCCUUUGCCGUCCGCCAUGGCGGACGACAAAGAAGCUGAUUCCAGUAAUGCAUGUACUAUUCGCCACUAUAAAUGUAUCGUGGUAUUGAUUAUCCAAAAGAAACAUGGUCAUAAGGAAGAAAAGCUGAAGUGGCCCGGAAGAAAAUCCUAUGCAAUGCUCCCAAUCAAUCGUUGGAGGCAACGAAUAGGCAUAGAUGAAGUGACCUUGAUCCAUUUCAAACCUAGUGCUAUCACUAACACUUUUGUUAAUUAUUUUCGUUAUAUUUUCUCAUCUCCCAAUAAUAAUGCUGAUAGGCCUUAUCUUGAUACACAUUGGCCUAGUGACUCUCUGGAUCCUACCUAUGCUCUUCCUGAUAAACAUGAGGUUUUACAGAUUCUCAAAUAAAUGAAAUUGAAUGCUUCUCCAGGGCCAGAUGGGUUUAAUGUUGAAUUUUAUUUGGCGGCCUGGGACUGGAUAGGAGAUGAAGUCACUCAACUUGUCAUUAAUUUUUACACUACUGGUAUUUUGCCUCCACAUAUUAAUGACACUAACAUUGCUCUUAUUCCGAAAAAGCUUGUGCCUCAAGUUCCCAUGGACUAUCGCCCUAUUAGUCUUUGUAAUGUUGUUUACAAAAUCAUUGCGAAGUCGCUUGCUAAUAGGAUCAAGCCUCAUCUUCCUGAUUAUAUUGAUCCUGCUCAACAAGCUUUCAUUGAGGGUAGACGUAUUAGUGAUAACAUCAUUAUUGCCCAGGAGAUUGCCACUCUUUCUCUCUUAAAUCUUGGAAACACAGUGCUUUCAUGCUUAAGAUAGAUCUAGCCAAAGCUUUUGAUCGUCUAGAAUGGAAUUUUAUUGUGACUGCUCUUGCUCGUAAAGGGCUGCAUGGUCACUUCAUUAAUUUAAUUCAUGCAUGUGUUUCUUCUCCUAUGUUCUAUGUGCUGAUUAAUGGACAACCCUCUCAUAAGUUUAGGAGCUUUCAAGGUAUUCGUCAGGGCUGUCCAAUGUCUCCUUAUUUGUUUGUUAUUGCCAUCAAUGAAUUAUCUAUUGCUCUCAACGAAGCUCUUGCUGCUCAUCAUUUGCAGGGUAUUUCGCUUGGACCAAAUUGCCCUUCAAUUCACUCUUUGUUAUUUGCAGAUGACUUGUUGGUUUGUGGGCAAGCCAGUCUUCAAGAGGCUCACACUAUUGCUCAUCUUAUUAAUCAUUUUUGUUCUAUCUCAGGUCAAACUCCAAAUUGGGCCAAAUCAGCCAUUCUUUUCAGUUCUCAUGUUCCUCAAGCUAUGAUGCAGGAUAUUAAGCAGAUUUUCCCUGUUUCUAAUUUGGAUAGCAAUUUCACUCAUCUUGGUCAUCCACUUGUUCUUCCUGCAAAAAAUAGAGCUGCUGCAUAUAACUUUGUUCUAGACAAAUUUCUGAAUAAGUUGCCCACUUAUAAAGCUAACAUGCUUUCUCAUGCUGACAGACUUGAAUUGAUUCGCUCGGUUUUCUCGGCUAUCCCUGUCUAUUACAUGGCUAAUAUCUUGUUUACGAAGAAAUUCAUUGUUAAGCUUACUGCUGUUAUUAGGAAUUUUUGGUGGACAGGUGUUCGAGAAAAUGACUCAAAACGAGUCUUUGCCUUAGAGCAUGGAAUGACAUUUGCAAUUCAAAAGAUGAAGGUGGCUUAGGUGUCAGAAAUUUAAAAGCUAUUAAUGAGAGUCUUCUUCUUUCUGCUACCUGGAGGUUAGCCAAGUUCCCUUCUUCUUACUUGCAUCUUGUGCUUAAGGCUAAGUACUUUCAUGAUGCUUCUAUCUGGACAGCUACUGCUAUUUCUCCCAAAUCAGCUUUCUGGGCCUCUAUUUUGAAAUUGUUGCCUAAACUUAAAGCUCAUUCUUUUUAUCAAUUAUCUCAAGGUAAUAUUUCAAUUUGGAGCACACCUUGGUGCACUCUUUGGAGCUCGGUUCAUGAUCAUCUUAUUGCUCAACAACCUGGUUUUAUAUAUCCUUCUUUAGUUAAAGAUCUUUGGCUUCCAGGUCAAAAAAGUUGGAAUCAUGAUCUUCUUUUCUCCCUUUUCCAGCAACCUUUGGCCUCUCUCAUUGUUCAAACUGAAAUUACUAGUUGAACGCCCGUGCGUUGCCACGGCAUAAAAAAACAAUGCUUAAACAUAUAUUCUAAUUAAAAAAGUGUGUUGUAAUCAAAUGUAGUUUUUCCAUACAACAACAGAAUCAUUCUUUGACCCCGCGCAUUUCCCCCUCGGCAAUUUUCAUAUCUCGUUAUCGGCCAUCUCCUUGCAAGAAGAUAAUUAAAGCAUCAUCUUUCUCCCCUACCCUUCUUCCUUCCACCUUCAUUAUCGUCACCAUCUCUAAGCACUGCUUAUAAAUCCUGUACUGGUACAAAAUAUUAUUAUUUCAUCAAAGAUUCUUUUGAUGCUCUUUUUGACGGUCAGCAAUUUGAAUAGGUGCAUGCAAGAGAUGGGACUGUCGAAGAGGUACGCGAAGAGGGUGACGUGAGAGGAAAGGUAUAGACUCGCUCCCGCGACGCGCCCCGUGUGCGCGUCACGGGAGAAACCCUAGUGCUGCCGGUGGGCUUCCCCUCCUCCUCCCUCCUCUCCCUCGCCGCCAGAGAGGGUGCGCCGGGCGAAGCCUGGUAGGCGCCGGUGGCGGCGGGGCUGCCUUGUCUCCUCGGCGGGUCGAGGCGCCUGCCUGGGAUGCGGCGCUGGCGGUGAGCGCGACAGCGAGGCGACGAGCUGGAGCCUGCUGGCGGCGUGACCGGCGCGGCGGUGGCGGGCGUGCCUUGGUCGCCAGGGCCGGUGGGGUCGAGGCCGGAUCUGGGGCCCGGCGGCGCGGGCAGCUGGUCUCUGCCCCUGCCAUGGCCACGACGGGUGGUGGUGCGACGCGGGAGCGGUUGGCCGGUGGGCGGGCUGGCCGGGAUCCGAAGCUUCGGCGGCUGGACGACAGCGGGCCGCGCAGAUGGGCUCCUCAGUAAGCUUCCUUCGUGAUUGGUGGCGACCCUUGGGAUCUCUCCUUGCCGGCGGGCGGGUGUAUGUUGUUGGCCUCGCGUGGAGCUGCGGUCGCCGCCGAGGUGGGGCGACACCGAGUUGUUCGGUGGGGAGAUAUGCUGGAGGGACGGGAGGCACCGCCGAGCCCGGGCCACCCGUCGCUGGCACGGGGAUGUGAUGCCGAGCCCAGGCCACCCGUCGCUGGCAUGGGGAUGUGCCGGCCCCGAUGCAUCCGCUCCCCCUCCUCACCCGUUCCCCGGCCAUGUGUGGGCUGGCGCAACUCCGGCGUUGCUCGAGGCGGGACGUAUGCCGUGGUUUCUUCGGUCGGGUGCGCCCGUUGGCACAAAGCUGGUCACUUGGCGGCCCCGGCGUCGGGAGGCACGACGUUCGUGGGCGGGACUUGCGCCUCGGGUGCGGGCGAGCGGCCAUGGCCACGCGGGUGGGUGGUCGCUGGUGGUUGACGGAGCUAGGUUGCAUCGGACGGGUGGACGUGCUGGGGUUCAUCACCUGCCCAAUCUUGUAUUGACUGACGGUGGCGGCGUCCGUGGACACUGUAUCCUUCUUGUAGGCUCCGUCGCGGUGGCCUUUCUCCUUCAAGUUGCUCCGGGUGAAAACCCGAUCUUUGGGAUCGGAUGGUGGCGGCUAUCGUGGUCGUUCCCUUCUUGGGGACACCAUCUUGGAGUCCUGGUUCCGUCGUUCCCGUCUCACCUCCCCUCGGAGGAGGAGGUCUCCGGUGGCUCCAAGCAGUUCGUGCUCGCGCAUUUGUGACACAUUGUGCAUAACCUAGACUGUGAUCAAGAGUGGCCGGUUGUGAAAGAGAGUAAUCAGUGACGUGUUCUUGACUGCAUAAAGAGAAUAUAAUGAAGGGAGGAGCUUAUACUAUCCUACAAUAAAUAAACACAAAAGCUAGUGAUGCAGAUCAGACAGAUAGAUGGUAAGAAAAAAAUCCACGUACUUGUCAAAGGUAAAUUUUAGCCGUUUAUUUUGAAAUGUGUUCCAUUCAUCAAGCUGAUUUGCCUCAAUGUCAACAAGCAAGUUGAUGAACCAAAAAAAAAA
This 37926-nucleotide long non-coding RNA is filed under the name Triticum aestivum (bread wheat). RNAcentral describes it as "long non-coding RNA (TAES_LNC000251)". Lineage: Eukaryota; Viridiplantae; Streptophyta; Magnoliopsida; Poales; Poaceae. The record is from RNAcentral.